CCUACGGGUGGCAGCAGUGAGGAAUAUUGGUCAAUGGGCGCGAGCCUGAACCAGCCAAGUAGCGUGAAGGAUGACUGCCCUACGGGUUGUAAACUUCUUUUAUAAAGGAAUAAACUGAGGCACGUGUGCCCUUUUGUAUGUACUUUAUGAAUAAGGAUCGGCUAACUCCGUGCCAGCAGCCGCAGUAAUACGGAGGAUCCGAGCGUUAUCCGGAUUUAUUGUGUUUAAAGGGAGCGUAGAUGGGUUGUUAAGUCAGUUGUGAAAGUUUGCGGCUCAACCGGAAAAUUGCAAUUGAUACUGGCAGGCUUGAGUACAGUUGAGGUAGGCGGAAUUCGUGGUGUAGCGGUGAAAUGCUUAGAUAUCACGAAGAACUCCGAUUGCGAAGGCAGCCUACUAAACUGCCACUGACAUUGAUGCUCGAAAGUGUGGGUAUCAAACAGGAUUAGAUACCCGAGUAGUC
RNAcentral lists this ribosomal RNA (460 nucleotides) under uncultured bacterium. RNAcentral describes it as "partial 16S ribosomal RNA". It matches the Rfam family "Bacterial small subunit ribosomal RNA", at positions 338 to 795 of the family's 1533-position model. The record is from RNAcentral.